AGCUUGUUCAGAGGAGCUCAGCUGUGGGGGAGAGCUCAAAGCCAACACCUAUUGAGUUGCAGUUAAAAUGAGGGCGAAAAAGGCUUUUGUUUCAGUUCUGCAGAUGGUCUGGGAGCUUGUGUUUCUUAGCAAGAAUUUUCUAGAUCUUUUGGCUUGAACCAUCUGAAUAACUGCCUCAAGCUUUUGCAUGGUUCCCACUGGGUGGGCUGGGGUGGGAGGGGCUGUCAUGCAUGGUCCGGGAAAGCUGGAGAAGGCUGUUCCUUCACCCCGAGCCUUGGAUUUCUUAUCUGUGAAAUGGGAGGCUGCAAUGAUGAAUGGCAAAGUACCUUUUUUUUUUCAGCUUUGAAAGUCUAGGAUAUUUAGCCACUGGAAGACCAGCAGACAAUGUCAUGACAACUCAAGAGGAUACAACAGGGUUGCUUCAAAAGACAAGUCUUUGGACCAUGUCAAGACCUGGAGCGAAGAAGGUUUCAGUAUCGCCCUGACUUCUUUUGGAAGGAUCCCUUGGCCUCAGGCUGGAGUGGGCACCUGCCCUAGCCCACAGAGCUGGGUUUCUCCCUUUCUUCAAC
This 569-nucleotide small RNA is filed under the name Pongo abelii (Sumatran orangutan). RNAcentral describes it as "retained intron". The record is from RNAcentral. Lineage: Eukaryota; Metazoa; Chordata; Mammalia; Primates; Hominidae.